Molecule: ribosomal RNA, 452 nt
Filed under: uncultured bacterium
Lineage: Bacteria
Description: bacterial SSU rRNA
Rfam family: Bacterial small subunit ribosomal RNA
Source: RNAcentral
AGGCCAGACUCCUACGGGAGGCAGCAGUGGGGGAUAUUGCACAAUGGGGGGAACCCUGAUGCAGCAACGCCGCGUGAAGGAAGAAGGGUUUCGGCUCGUAAACUUCUAUCAACAGGGACGAAAGAAAUGACGGUACCUGAAUAAGAAGCCCCGGCUAACUACGUGCCAGCAGCCGCGGUAAUACGUAGGGGGCAAGCGUUAUCCGGAUUUACUGGGUGUAAAGGGAGCGUAGACGGCAGUGCAAGUCCGGAGUGAAAGCCCGGGGCUCAACCCUGGGACUGCUCUGGAAACUGUAAAGCUGGAGUGCGGGAGGGGCAGGCGGAAUUCCUGGUGUAGCGGUGAAAUGCGUAGAUAUCAGGAGGAACACCGGCGGCGAAGGCGGCCUGCUGGACCGUAACUGACGUUGAGGCUCGAAAGCGUGGGGAGCAAACAGGAUUAGAUACCCUUGUAGC